Long non-coding RNA from Scomber japonicus (chub mackerel), 369 nucleotides. RefSeq lists it as uncharacterized. The transcript has 2 exons. Lineage: Eukaryota; Metazoa; Chordata; Actinopteri; Scombriformes; Scombridae. The record is from RefSeq and is a predicted model, not a curated record.
GACAGACAGGUGAGAGGCAGACAGGUGAGACAGACAGGUGAGGGACAGACAGGUGAGGGACAGACAGGUGAGAGACAGACAGGUGAGGGACAGACAGGUGAGACAGACAGGUGAGACAGACAGAUGAGACAGACAGAUGAGAGACAGACAGGUGAGGGACAGACAGGUGAGACAGACAGAUGAGACAGACAGGUGAGGGACAGACAGCUCUGAUGUGAAAACGAUGCAACAUGUGAAGAAUCUUAUUAUUAAUGUAAUUACUGUACAAACUGAAGAUGAUGAUGAUAAAGAUGAUGAAGAUGAUGAAGAUGAUAAAUGCAAUAAAAAUGUUGCAUGUGUGAAAUAAAUUUGCUCAUUUCACUUUUAAAA